AGUCGAGAAUCUUCGGCAAUGGGCGCAAGCCUGACCGAGCGACGCCGCGUGCGGGAUGAAGGCCCUUGGGUUGUAAACCGCUGUCAGGGGGGAGCAAGCCGCAAGGUUGAGCGAGCCCCAGAGGAAGCACGGGCUAAGUUCGUGCCAGCAGCCGCGGUAAUACGAACUGUGCGAACGUUAUUCGGAAUCACUGGGCUUACAGGGUGCGUAGGCGGCCUUUCAAGUCAGGUGUGAAAUCCCACAGCUCAACUGUGGAAUGGCGCUUGAAACUGGAGGGCUGGAGUCAGCUAGAGGUGCACGGAACUUCCGGUGGAGCGGUGAAAUGUGUUGAUAUCGGAAGGAACACCAGAGGCGAAAGCGGUGCACUGGGGCUGUUCUGACGCUGAGGCACGAAAGCCAGGGGAGCGAA
RNAcentral lists this ribosomal RNA (409 nucleotides) under uncultured Planctomyces sp. RNAcentral's name for it is "bacterial SSU rRNA". It matches the Rfam family "Bacterial small subunit ribosomal RNA", at positions 353 to 772 of the family's 1533-position model. The record is from RNAcentral. Lineage: Bacteria; Pseudomonadati; Planctomycetota; Planctomycetia; Planctomycetales; Planctomycetaceae.